UCUUGGUCAUUUAGAGGAAGUAAAAGUCGUAACAAGGUCUCCGUUGGUGAACCAGCGGAGGGAUCAUUACCGAGUUUACAACUCCCAAACCCCUGUGAACAUACCUAUACGUUGCCUCGGCGGAUCAGCCCGCGCCCUGUAAAAAGGGACGGCCCGCCCGAGGACCCUAAACUCUGUUUUUAGUGGAACUUCUGAGUAAAACAAACAAAUAAAUCAAAACUUUCAACAACGGAUCUCUUGGUUCUGGCAUCGAUGAAGAACGCAGCAAAAUGCGAUAAGUAAUGUGAAUUGCAGAAUUCAGUGAAUCAUCGAAUCUUGAACGCACAUUGCGCCCGCCAGUAUUCUGGCGGGCAUGCCUGUUCGAGCGUCAUUUCAACCCUCAAGCUCAGCUUGGUGUUGGGACUCGCGGUAACCCGCGUUCCCCAAAUCGAUUGGCGGUUACGUCGAGCUUCCAUAGCGUAGUAAUCAUACACCUCGUUACUGGUAAUCGUCGCGGCCACGCCGUAAAACCCCAACUUCUGAAUGUUGACCUCGGAUCAGGUAGGAAUACCCGCUGAACUUAAGCAUAUCAAUAAGCGGAGGA
This 583-nucleotide ribosomal RNA is filed under the name uncultured fungus. RNAcentral describes it as "eukaryotic LSU rRNA". The stretch from base 218 to 370 matches the Rfam family "5.8S ribosomal RNA". Lineage: Eukaryota; Fungi. The record is from RNAcentral.